AGGGUUUGAUUAUGGCUCAGGAUGAACGCUAGCGACAGGCUUAACACAUGCAAGUCGAGGGGCAUCAUGAGGUAGCAAUACCUUGAUGGCGACCGGCGCACGGGUGAGUAACGCGUAUGCAACCUGCCUGAUACCGGGGUAUAGCCCAUGGAAACGUGGAUUAACACCCCAUAGUACUUUUAUCCUGCAUGGGAUGUGAGUUAAAUGUUUAAGGUAUCGGAUGGGCAUGCGUCCUAUUAGUUAGUUGGCGGGGUAACAGCCCACCAAGACGAUGAUAGGUAGGGGUUCUGAGAGGAAGGUCCCCCACAUUGGAACUGAGACACGGUCCAA
Molecule: ribosomal RNA, 330 nt
Filed under: uncultured bacterium
Lineage: Bacteria
Description: bacterial SSU rRNA
Rfam family: Bacterial small subunit ribosomal RNA
Source: RNAcentral